RNAcentral lists this ribosomal RNA (253 nucleotides) under uncultured bacterium. Its description in RNAcentral is "partial 16S ribosomal RNA". It matches the Rfam family "Bacterial small subunit ribosomal RNA", at positions 524 to 776 of the family's 1533-position model. The record is from RNAcentral.
UACGGGGGGGGCAAGCGUUGUUCGGAAUUACUGGGCGUAAAGGGCUCGUAGGUGGCCAACUAAGUCAGACGUGAAAUCCCUCGGCUUAACCGGGGAACUGCGUCUGAUACUGGAUGGCUCGAGUUCGGGAGAGGGAUGCGGAAUUCCAGGUGUAGCGGUGAAAUGCGUAGAUAUCUGGAGGAACACCGGUGGCGAAGGCGGCAUCCUGGACCGACACUGACGCUGAGGAGCGAAAGCCAGGGGAGCAAACAGG